AGCCUGUUCCACGAUGUCGAAAGAACACGUUCGCACAACUUUUACACGACAAACAGCUGAUUUCCGUUCCACUAAAAUCCAUCAGAACGAAAAUUUGCACGAAAAUCAAAGCGAACGAAAACGUAAGCGUUUCAGUGUAAUUUUGCGUUCCACUAUCUUUUUUCUUUCGUACGCAUGCGAACACAAAUGUCAAAAUCAGUCACUUGUGUGUUUGCUGUCGAAUGAUAAAAAUUAAGGAAAAUUGUUUUAACAUAAACAUUCCUCGAUUGAAAAUGGAAAGAAAAAUCACGAAAAAACUACACAGCUGCGGGCACUAGUUGAGUAUAUGGGGGAGAAUCCUAAGUUCGCCAGAGGAGUGCCAAUUUUUGGAAGCAGCAGGCAAUCCCAUGAAGACCACUGGAAGACACAAACCUAGAAAAAAUCAUUUUUUUUAUUAUUUCAAAAAUGUAAAAAUACAAUCAUACUUACUGGUUGUUAGGUACUUCAAAUAAAUUCGAAGCAUCUCUUAAAUGCCUCCGUGGCACAAUUUGAA
Molecule: long non-coding RNA, 532 nt
Organism: Musca domestica (house fly)
Lineage: Eukaryota; Metazoa; Arthropoda; Insecta; Diptera; Muscidae
Exons: 2
Source: RefSeq, a predicted model, not a curated record